This 681-nucleotide long non-coding RNA is filed under the name Phoenix dactylifera (date palm). Its description in RNAcentral is "long non-coding RNA (PDAC_LNC017287)". The record is from RNAcentral. Lineage: Eukaryota; Viridiplantae; Streptophyta; Magnoliopsida; Arecales; Arecaceae.
GAAGAACUCCUGAGCUAGGCUAGAGCAGCAGGUGCCUCUUCAGCCACCCCAUCAUCUCCCACUGCUCCCUCCAUUGCUGGGACGAUCCCUGCGUCCAUCAUCUCAAUCCAGCUCUCCAGGUGAGUCGAUAAAUUGAACAAUGCCAUCCGUCAACAUGUUAGCUAAUGCCUCCAUAGCACUUGGUUCAUCCAUGAUAUUUUCUUGUAUUCAUGCACUGCCGACAGGCUGAACAAUGUAGUUGCUGCAUUCUCUCUAACCUCCGUAGUCUGCCCUCGUCUCAAACCAUAAAUGAUCAACCAUAAACACUCUCCUUCAUUGUACGUACCUGUGCAUGGUGAUUCUCAGACUCAUCGACACCCUUCGCGAGCUUGGCCACUGCCACUAGGACAGCUACGGCAUGAGCUAGAAGGUGUUGGUGUGAAGCAACACCAUGAGGAUGACUAAGGCAAGCACAAUCAAGAUCGUGCCGUCACCGACCAUGUGGCUGAGGAUGAUGAGUGGAGGUAGUUGAGGAAGAGCCAAAGAGCCAACAUAACCAUGAAGAUGAUGAGGGAGACAAGAUGUUAGAGGAGGCUGAAGAAGACGAUGAGGAGGACAAUGAUGGCAUAGUUCAUGGAAAUAUAGCUUAGGUUGGUCCGCAUUUGAAGGUAGGCCUCCCUAAGGCUCGAUGGGAGGUUGAAG